UGGGGAAUAUUGCACAAUGGGCGCAAGCCUGAUGCAGCCAUGCCGCGUGUGUGAAGAAGGCCUUCGGGUUGUAAAGCACUUUCAGCGGGGAGGAAGGCGUUAAGGUUAAUAACCUUGGCGAUUGACGUUACCCGCAGAAGAAGCACCGGCUAACUCCGUGCCAGCAGCCGCGGUAAUACGGAGGGUGCAAGCGUUAAUCGGAAUUACUGGGCGUAAAGCGCACGCAGGCGGUCUGUCAAGUCGGAUGUGAAAUCCCCGGGCUCAACCUGGGAAAUGCAUUCGAAACUGGCAGGCUAGAGUCUUGUAGAGGGGGGUAGAAUUCCAGGUGUAGCGGUGAAAUGCGUAGAGAUCUGGAGGAAUACCGGUGGCGAAGGCGGCCCCCUGGACAAAGACUGACGCUCAGGUGCGAAAGCGUGGAGAGCAAACAGG
Molecule: ribosomal RNA, 429 nt
Filed under: Chloroflexota bacterium
Lineage: Bacteria; Bacillati; Chloroflexota
Description: Chloroflexi bacterium partial 16S ribosomal RNA
Rfam family: Bacterial small subunit ribosomal RNA
Source: RNAcentral